Molecule: ribosomal RNA, 377 nt
Filed under: uncultured bacterium
Lineage: Bacteria
Description: bacterial SSU rRNA
Rfam family: Bacterial small subunit ribosomal RNA
Source: RNAcentral
GUAGUCCACGCCGUAAACGUUGGGCGCUAGGUGUGGGGAACAUUCCACGUUCUCCGUGCCGCAGCUAACGCAUUAAGCGCCCCGCCUGGGGAGUACGGCCGCAAGGCUAAAACUCAAAGGAAUUGACGGGGGCCCGCACAAGCGGCGGAGCAUGCGGCUUAAUUCGACGCAACGCGAAGAACCUUACCAAGGCUUGACAUAUAGGGAAAUCUCACAGAGAUGUGAGGUCCGCAAGGGCCCUAUACAGGUGGUGCAUGGUUGUCGUCAGCUCGUGUCGUGAGAUGUUGGGUUAAGUCCCGCAACGAGCGCAACCCUCGUUCAAUGUUGCCAGCACGUAAUGGUGGGGACUCAUUGGAGACUGCCGGGGUCAACUCGGA